GAGAGACUCCUCCCGCGCCACGGCGGAUCCCGCGAUGCGUGCGACGGCUCAGGGAGGUCCCAGCACGGAUCGCGAGGCGUGUGCUGGGCAGCCCGGACGUAGCUUUCGGUUUUGUUGUCGCGGCUUUGCAUGGACGGCACUGGUUGAGAAAGAGGCCUUGGCGUUAUCCGUGUGUUGCUUUCCUUGCAAUCCAAUCUCCGGCCCCAUUAUUCCUCCUUUUUAAUGCGAAAAUCGCAUUCUUGUUCUUCAGCUCGUCUAAAGAAUAUCUCAGUUCCUGUUGGCUCGUAACAUUGCUUAUGUAAG
RNAcentral lists this long non-coding RNA (303 nucleotides) under Brachypodium distachyon (stiff brome). RNAcentral describes it as "long non-coding RNA (BDIS_LNC003962)". Lineage: Eukaryota; Viridiplantae; Streptophyta; Magnoliopsida; Poales; Poaceae. The record is from RNAcentral.